UGUUUUCACAGGACCAGAAUUUCUUCAGUACUCCCCCCCCCCCACUUGUAUAUGCUAGGCAUAAUGCUGACACCUACAUGAUGCAUAUCUUUUUUUUUCAUUACGCACUCUGCUACACUCGCAAUGUAUAAUAAAAUAUUCCAUUCAUUUCUAACUCAUCCCCUACCAAUGUCACUUCAAAUACAGGGCAUCUGUAUCUUUAAAUUUGAGCUGCACUUAAGUGCGAAACUGUCCCUUGCUACCAUGAAACAUCAGGGGCGGAUCCAGGAAUUACGGUUACGGGGCGCGCCACUUUAUGAGGCAGGGGGUCUGGGGACCACCUUGAGGUGGGGGCCCAGGGGGCAAAGCCCCCGGAAGCUCUUAGAUUUUGCAGAUUUUAUAGGGCUUGAAAUGUCUUCUAUUUAAGUCAUUUGUACUAUUUUUUAUCAUUUUUAAUAUGGCGAAAUUAGUAAAAUGACGUAAUUUUAAAGGUUUUUGGAAAAAAUCAAGUUCUCCCAAUUAAAAAAUUCAAUAAAUCAAAAGAUUUUGUCAUUUAUUUCCUCGGGAGUGGAAGAAAGUAUUGCUUUUAUUAUCGUUUAGUACAUUUUUCUAAACAAGAUAGGCCAAUACCACGAUUUACCUUAAAUUUGAAAAUUUUAGGGGGGGGGGGGGGGCUGCGCCCCCACCCCCUUAAAUCCGCCACUGAACAUAUUUUGCUUUAAAACAUAAACCAACAAUCCUUAAUUGUAAUUUCUUUUCAUCUUUAAAAAGGGUAUUGACAUCACAAUAUCUAGUGGAAAGUUCCCAGGUAUCGUCCGCUAGUGACAGUCUACUGGCAAAGCCAGACAUGCAUUGGUAGGAUGCUGAUUUGAAAAACACAGGGACACCUGAUCCAAGAACUGUGCCAUUUCAUUCAGAGUGACAACCUGACAUUCAGUUGAUAUGGGACCCGAUUAUUCAGAGAACUGCAGAUUUUAUGAAGCUGUUUUUGACAGAAGAUCUGGUUUUCUCCAUCUGUGUUGCCACCAACCAUUAUGCUGAGAUGGUCAUAUCUAGGGGGAAGGAUUGUCAUUAUGCUUCCCAAGGAAGUUCGCAGCCUUUCACUGAAGAGGAACUGUACAGAUUUUUGGGCAUUAUCUUAUACAUGUCUGCUGUGAAGUUCCGUUCGAUGGACAGAUAUUGGUCAAUGCAUGCCCCUAUCGGAACAACCCAGUACAGUGUAUCAAGAAUGAUGUCUAGAAAUAGAUUUUAAGAGGUUGAAUAUAAGAACAUUUUUUGUUAAAUAUGAUGCAAGUACAUUUAAAUCUAGUGAUUGAAAGUAAGUACUCGUUGAACUUGGAGAGGAAAAUCGGGUAGGUUUUUUUUUUAUAACAUUUGAUAAGGUGCUGUUGCUUAGCAACCAAAUAUAUUUGAAUGCAAACAAUUAAAUUAUUUUAGAUUAAUAAUAAAGAUCUUUGUUUUAAUGUUGCAAUAUUUAUUCUAAUUAGUGGAACAUAAUGGUAAAACGUCAUAUUAUUAGAAAAUGAUGGAUAUGUACAAUGUAUAUAAAGUACAAAGUUUCCAUUUUAUGACCUUUGACCUUAAUUCUCAUCAUCAUAUUUUUUUGUUAAAAACAUUCUAAAAUGAUUAAGAUUUAUUUAAAGAUUAUAUUUUUAAAAUAAUGUGACAUUUAUUAAUCAUCAUUCAAUGUACUUAUGUUUAAAUUGUGUCGAAUGUAUGCAGAAAGGCAAAUUACGGUCAAAAUUUUACUAUGGGUGUUGUUACUUAGCAACCAAAAUAUUCGUUUGUCAAUAAAAUUGAUUAAUUUGA
Long non-coding RNA from Ostrea edulis (European flat oyster), 1788 nucleotides. RefSeq lists it as uncharacterized. The record is from RefSeq and is a predicted model, not a curated record. Lineage: Eukaryota; Metazoa; Mollusca; Bivalvia; Ostreida; Ostreidae. The transcript has 3 exons.